UUGCUCGCUUCGGCAACAGAUUAACUAAAAUUGGAACAAUACAGAGGAGAUUAGCAUGGCCCCUGGGCAAAGAUGACAUGCAAAUUCAUGAGGCAUUCCUUAUUUUU
Molecule: small nuclear RNA, 107 nt
Organism: Mesoplodon densirostris (Blainville's beaked whale)
Lineage: Eukaryota; Metazoa; Chordata; Mammalia; Artiodactyla; Ziphiidae
Source: RefSeq, a predicted model, not a curated record